UUAAAGCUUUGUCAGCUGCAGCGUUCGGAACCGUACGAUAAUUAUCGUACACAUACGAUAAUUUUGUGCCUACGUACGAUGUACGAUAGCAUAUUAUUAUCGUACGCAGAUUGUACGAUAAUUUCUAUCAUGAUGCAAAAUUUGAGAAUUUAUAUUGAUAGUCUAAAUCGCAGUAGCAUGAUUUUAUUUUGUCCAAUAAAAUCUUGGGAAAAUACCGGGAAAUACAAGUUCUCUAUUCCUAUUGAUCCUUACGAUCCGCUCUACUAAGUUUCACCACUGCCGAUACUGUAACUUUAUCCAGCGCCUGCUGUACACGCUUUCUUAUUGGUUAGUAUAGCAUCUACCAAUGCGAACAAGAGAAUAUAAGUUCGGUAUUUCGAUUAUGUUCACACUUCAUAUGUAUCGUAUAUUUUCGUGUAGAAAAGUUGGCAGUUAUUUCGUUAUAUUAUUAUGAUUAUAUGUCUGUAUUCGCUCUGACAAACGGAAUUAUUCAAAUUAAGUGAAGAAAGAAGUACUUGCAUGCAUAUCAAUAUUACAAUUUAUAUGAUUUAUUUAUCUUUAAAAGACAUUAUCCUAAAAAAUACGAUAAUUUCGAUCCAUGUACGAUAAUUUUUACUCCUCUGGUACGAUAGUCAGUCCACUUCAAGUUGUUAACGCUGGUCAGCUGUCACUUGCUUUGAAACCUGCCCACUGGUCAUAAAAUGGCGGCUACUUCUAGCGUUUGCACUUUGCGCAUGUAUGUAGCUCUCGUGUUCCAUUUUGCAUAUUUUUGGUAUUGAAAUCGAAGUGUAAGUGCGUCGAGUCGAGCCUUGUGUUCUACCGCCUUGCUGUUGCGAAUUCACUCCAAAAAUCUCCUUAUUCUGUGAAUUUCUACUUUUUGUGACAGAGACACUUUUGUUUGUGGAAUUUAUGAACUUUGGUGUAAUGCCGAGACUUAGACGUGCUUUCGGUUGUGCGCUCCGUGGUAAAGAUUCCAAUGCAUCAUUUCCCAGAUGCUGUCAAAUUCCUGAGCAUUUUAAAACUUGGGUCAGUCUUGUUGGUGGAAACCCUUAAACAUCUGAUUUUGAAUGUUAUAAGAAGAAGAGAAUUUGUGAUACACACUUUUCUGACAGACAGAAAUCGUAAUCAAUGGCUAAGCACAUUGGCAGUUCCGAAGCUUCAUCUGCUUGGAAAACUACAGAGUCAAGUAAUCUUAGGACAAGCUUCAUCUACACAACAUUUACUGCCUACAAUAAUACAGCAAGACUGGUCAGAGCCAUAUGUGAGCAACUUUAUUUUAGAAAAAGCAUGAACUUCAACAACAUUCCAACCUGUGGCUGCAGAUGCAUCUCAAGGUGCUUGAUGCUGGAACAUAAUAGUUUUAUUAGCAAGCCUAAAAGAACAGCUGGAAAAGAUCUAAUAGUUCCACAGCGCAAAAAGAUCAAGCAUCUUCAAGCAGAAAUAUCGCGCUUGCGAAAAAAAGGACAAUCUUUCAAAGCAAGGUUAAAAGGUGGUGCAGAUCGAUCAAUCGAAUUUUGUCAGGAAAAUUAACAUACCUAUGUGGGUGAAGACGAAACAAAAACAGCUGCCCAACAAUAUUAUGAUAAACAUAAACAUUAUAAAAAUAAAAAAUAAUAUACAAA
Long non-coding RNA from Leptidea sinapis, 1622 nucleotides. RefSeq lists it as uncharacterized. The record is from RefSeq and is a predicted model, not a curated record. Lineage: Eukaryota; Metazoa; Arthropoda; Insecta; Lepidoptera; Pieridae. The transcript is spliced from 6 exons.